CUUCCUCACUUAGCUUCCAUAGAACGAGAGCUGCUUUAACCCGCGCUUUGUUUACUGGGCAUGGAUACAAAACAAGACAGUGUUUGAAUCAUAAUGGCUAUGGGCUGUUAGCCCAAAGCCGCUUUAUUAAUAAAAUUUGUCAAAAUAUAUAAUUUGCUCUGAUAAAUCUAAAAAUUGCCCAGUAAAGGUGAGGGCAAACAACGCCAAAUGCAUGGUGGGUGAUAAUCCACAAUGCAGCCCCACCCAAGGGAAAAAGCAGCACUCGAGAACGAUAGCACAUAUAAGCUACAAUCAUACCUUCGCAUAGUGUUGCUACUUAAAGCAAAAACAAAAUGCUUUGUCAAUUAUCCAAUCACAACACAACAAGGACACAGCCCAUGCAAAUGUUUCCUGUAUUGUGACAGGAGAAAAGUAAAUGCCAAUUUGAUAAAGGCGGCAGACUUUCGCCCUUAUGAACAAGCUACUAACAAAGCAAUUGUACCGCAAAGACACCGCCCAUGCAAGUGAUUGCCAGUACUAUGCAA
Molecule: long non-coding RNA, 524 nt
Organism: Nematostella vectensis (starlet sea anemone)
Lineage: Eukaryota; Metazoa; Cnidaria; Anthozoa; Actiniaria; Edwardsiidae
Exons: 2
Source: RefSeq, a predicted model, not a curated record